AGGACGAACGCUGGCGGCGUGCUUAACACAUGCAAGUCGAGCGACGCAUCCUUUCGGGGGUGACGGAGCGGCGAACGGGUGAGUAACACGUGGGCAACCUGCCCUCAGCUCUGGGACAACUCCGGGAAACCGGGGCUAAUACCGGAUACGACAUCGGAUCGCAUGGUCUGGUGUGGAAAGUUUUUCGGCUGGGGAUGGGCCCGCGGCCUAUCAGCUUGUUGGUGGGGUGAAGGCCUACCAAGGCGACGACGGGUAGCCGGCCUGAGAGGGCGACCGGCCACACUGGGACUGAGACACGGCCCAGACUCCUACGGGAGGCAGCAGUGGGGAAUAUUGCGCAAUGGGCGAAAGCCUGACGCAGCGACGCCGCGUGGGGGAUGAAGGCCUUCGGGUUGUAAACCUCUUUCAGCAGGGACGAAUUCAGACGGUACCUGCAGAAGAAGCACCGGCCAACUACGUGCCAGCAGCCGC
RNAcentral lists this ribosomal RNA (471 nucleotides) under uncultured bacterium. RNAcentral describes it as "SSU rRNA". It matches the Rfam family "Bacterial small subunit ribosomal RNA", at positions 26 to 518 of the family's 1533-position model. The record is from RNAcentral.